Balaenoptera ricei (Rice's whale) is the source of this 250-nucleotide long non-coding RNA. RefSeq lists it as uncharacterized. The record is from RefSeq and is a predicted model, not a curated record. Lineage: Eukaryota; Metazoa; Chordata; Mammalia; Artiodactyla; Balaenopteridae. The transcript is spliced from 3 exons.
GUUCCAGUCAAGAGCAGCAUGUCUUCAAAAGAACUGUGAAUGUACCUAUGGGCACAUGAAGCUGAUCAGAAUCAAAUAGGCAGGAAGCAGGCUGAGAAAGCUGUUUGGCCCCCAAGGAGACAUGUCCUCCAAUGCUUACUUCAGAGGUGGCCAAGGAAAUUAAAGUUGAAAAGAACAAUCACUAGUGUUUGAGGUGAUCAAGAAGAGUCUCUCACCAGCAUGUGUUUUAGGGAGCGCAACGGUUUGAGGG